AAUAACACUACUGUGGCGAGACAAUCUCAGGUCUUUGUGUAGGUGUAUGUCAAGUUGUGAUGGCAGCGGUAGGCUGGACGCUCGUGUGUCUCCUGUCAGCCAUUUGUUGCAUUAGAAGGGCCAGCGGCUGGGCCUAUAUGAGGGAGGGGGACUGUCCCAACAACCAUCAGCCUGGCGACACCUGGCAUGAGGGGGGCCUGUUCUAGGUGCGAUUGUCAUGAGGAAGGGUACGCCUGUUACGGCUGCGGCUUUGUGAAUACUCCCACGAACUGCUACACCGACACCCCCCAUGCGACCGAUGUCUACCCCCUCUGCUGCCAGGUGCAGACAGUGUGCCCCGGGGACAAGGGCUUCGACCGUGCGAAACUCAGAUAAAAAUAGCACACAAUAACCUUCCCGGUGUGUUAGGUCAGGCUGUCGUUGAAUUCAAUGACAAUAAAUAUGUAUACACAGUAA
Molecule: long non-coding RNA, 456 nt
Organism: Haliotis rubra (blacklip abalone)
Lineage: Eukaryota; Metazoa; Mollusca; Gastropoda; Lepetellida; Haliotidae
Exons: 4
Source: RefSeq, a predicted model, not a curated record